RNAcentral lists this ribosomal RNA (404 nucleotides) under uncultured bacterium. Its description in RNAcentral is "bacterial SSU rRNA". It matches the Rfam family "Bacterial small subunit ribosomal RNA", at positions 355 to 776 of the family's 1533-position model. The record is from RNAcentral.
UGGGGAAUCUUGCACAAUGGGGGAAACCCUGAUGCAGCGACGCCGCGUGAGCGAUGAAGCCCUUCGGGGUGUAAAGCUCUUUCGGCAGGGACGAUAAUGACGGUACCUGAAGAAGAAGCUGCGGCUAACUACGUGCCAGCAGCCGCGGUAAUACGUAGGCAGCGAGCGUUGUUCGGAGUUACUGGGCGUAAAGAGUGCGUAGGCGGUUUUCUAAGUUUGGUGUGAAAUCUCCCGGCUUAACUGGGAGGGUGCGCCGAAGACUGGAAGGCUUGAGUAUGGGAGAGGUAAGCGGAAUUCCUGGUGUAGCGGUGAAAUGCGUAGAUAUCAGGAGGAACACCUGCGGUGUAGACGGCUUACUGGACCAUAACUGACGCUGAGGCACGAAAGCGUGGGUAGCAAACAGG